This 403-nucleotide ribosomal RNA is filed under the name Fusobacteriota bacterium. RNAcentral describes it as "Fusobacteria bacterium partial 16S ribosomal RNA". It matches the Rfam family "Bacterial small subunit ribosomal RNA", at positions 355 to 776 of the family's 1533-position model. The record is from RNAcentral. Lineage: Bacteria; Fusobacteriati; Fusobacteriota.
UGGGGAAUAUUGCACAAUGGGGGAAACCCUGAUGCAGCGACGCCGCGUGAGCGAAGAAGGUUUUCGAAUCGUAAAGCUCUGUCCUAUGGGAAGAUAAUGAGGGUACCAUAGGAGGAAGCCCCGGCUAACUACGUGCCAGCAGCCGCGGUAAUACGUAGGGGGCAAGCGUUGUCCGGAAUCACUGGGCGUAAAGGGUUCGCAGGCGGAAAUGCAAGUCAGUUGUGAAAGGCAGAGGCUCAACCUCUGUAAGCAAUUGAAACUGUAUUUCUUGAGAUGUGGAGAGGCAAGUGGAAUUCCUAGUGUAGCGGUGAAAUGCGUAGAUAUUAGGAAGAAUACCGGUGGCGAAGGCGACUUGCUGGACACAAACUGACGCUGAGGAACGAAAGCGUGGGUAGCAAACAGG